UUGACAGGUCCUCUAAUGGUUUUUGCUUUAUUAAGAUAAUAAUGAUACAUAAAAAAGUCUGCUAGUCACGCACGAUUGUCAUGAUUCAUUUUCUAUCACUGGAAAGGAAAUAUAGAUGCAGACGCAGAACAAAAUAUAGCUUUGUACUCAACACAGUUAUGGAGUGAUCUGUUCAUUUAUUCGGAAACACUUGUAUUCAAGAAAUAUUUAUAGCUUCCAAGUCAUAUUAUAAUAGGUUAGGUCUCUCAUGCCUCAACUUGAACUGCAGAUCAUAGGCCUAUAUAAACCUUGUAAAUCAGAGAACUUCAUCUACUAAGCAGCUAAUCUUCUGCGGAUCAUUGGUGCUUCAAUGAAGUUCUUGGGAAUAACUUGGAUAUUAGUCUUCAUCAUGGUUCCGAGUACAGACUUUGUCCAAGCAAGCUCUCGCAUCUCGCUUCUCCUCAGCUCUGUCGACCUUGGGCCGCCAACACCACAGUUUGUAACUGUAGCAGGAUGUAACAAUGACUGUGAUACUGCUUGUUGCAAUUGUGACAUCAAGAAACAGCCGCCUCUGUGUGUGCAAUGCUGCCAAGAAGACCCUUAAUGAGAUUCUUGCCUGCUCGAAGAUAUGUGUUGCUGUUGCCCCAGGAAUUGAAGCACAAAACCAUACCCUGUCAGGAUUUUUUUGUUUAAACAGUUGUACAAAUGCAAAUCUUAUGCUUCCAAGGAGAUUAAGACUAGCCAUAGUAGAGCGUGCAAAUGAGAAAUCUUACCUCUACUAUCCUCAAGCUGUCAUGGUGUGCCUUCAUUUACCAUGAAUUGAGGGAAAGAUCUUUUACCAAUAUGGAUUUUAUGCUCAUUCGAACUAGUGUUUUCUUAAUUAUUCACUCGACGUUGAACUCGGUUAGAACCUUGCAAUCCAA
Populus nigra (black poplar) is the source of this 902-nucleotide long non-coding RNA. RefSeq lists it as uncharacterized. The transcript is spliced from 2 exons. Lineage: Eukaryota; Viridiplantae; Streptophyta; Magnoliopsida; Malpighiales; Salicaceae. The record is from RefSeq and is a predicted model, not a curated record.